RNAcentral lists this ribosomal RNA (424 nucleotides) under Funneliformis mosseae. Its description in RNAcentral is "eukaryotic LSU rRNA". It matches the Rfam family "Eukaryotic large subunit ribosomal RNA", at positions 348 to 637 of the family's 3401-position model. Lineage: Eukaryota; Fungi; Glomeromycota; Glomeromycetes; Glomerales; Glomeraceae. The record is from RNAcentral.
GUACCGUGAGGGAAAGAUGAAAAGAACUUUGAAAAGAGAGUUAAACAGUACGUGAAAUUGUUGAAAGGGAAACGAUUGAAGUCAGUCAUACCAACGGGAAAUCAACCUUUUGAGCUUGGUCUCGUGGGUUUUGAAGAGUUUCAAAGCCUUCGGAUUCGCGGGAUUGGGAUCUCUCGGUGUACUUUUUCGUACGGUUAGUCAACAUCGGUUUUGAAUGUCAUAAAAUGACUGGAGGAAUGUAGCUUCGAUCUCGUAUUGAAGUGUUAUAGCCUUUGGUAGAUGUGAUGUUUGAGACCGAGGAUUGCAACGGAUACCCUUCAGGGCUAUUCGUCUGAUCUCUGAUACGUUGCCUUGAUGUUGAAAGCUUGCUUAUGAUGUUAGGGUAUUACGGUCAAAAGGUUAGAACGAAUUACAUUCGUUAAGG